Molecule: ribosomal RNA, 450 nt
Filed under: uncultured bacterium
Lineage: Bacteria
Description: partial 16S ribosomal RNA
Rfam family: Bacterial small subunit ribosomal RNA
Source: RNAcentral
GUGGGGAAUAUUGGACAAUGGGCGAAAGCCUGAUCCAGCCAUGCCGCGUGUGUGAAGAAGGUCUUCGGAUUGUAAAGCACUUUAAGUUGGGAGGAAGGGUAGUAACCUAAUACGUUGCUACUUUGACGUUACCGACAGAAUAAGCACCGGCUAACUCUGUGCCAGCAGCCGCGGUAAUACGAAGGGUGCAAGCGUUAAUCGGAAUUACUGGGCGUAAAGCGCGCGUAGGUGGUUUUGUAAGUUGGAGGUGAAAUCCCCGGGCUCAACCUGGGAACUGCCUCCAAAACUGCAUGACUAGAGUACGGUAGAGGGUAGUGGAAUUUCCUGUGUAGCGGUGAAAUGCGUAGAUAUAGGAAGGAACACCAGUGGCGAAGGCGACUACCUGGACUGAUACUGACACUGAGGUGCGAAAGCGUGGGGAGCAAACAGGAUUAGAUACCCCUGUAGUCC